RNAcentral lists this transfer RNA (80 nucleotides) under Dyadobacter sp. CY261. RNAcentral describes it as "tRNA-Leu". Lineage: Bacteria; Pseudomonadati; Bacteroidota; Cytophagia; Cytophagales; Spirosomataceae. The record is from RNAcentral.
ACCAUAUGAAACCAAAAAUCGCAGGACUUAAAAUCCUGUGGGCCGAAACGCCCGUACGGGUUCGAUUCCCGUCCCCGGUA